AUCUUUCAAAAAAAGAUGUUCAAAAAAUAUCUUGUAUUUCAUGAUCAAUAUCCAUUAUAAUUAGUCUACAAAUCAGAUCGAGGAAGUCAGGAAGAUAAUCUGUUCAAAAAAAAUAUUAGAGUUAGGAUUAGAGAGAGAUCUAAUGAAGAAAGAAAGAAAGAGAAAGGGAGAGAUCGAGAAUAAGAAAUACCUGUGGCUGUGAAGUGUAAACGGGCGAGGCUAUGAUUCCUGACUUUCUGUGAACGUUGUGAGGGUGAGGGAUGAAAACCCUAAAAAAAAAAGAUAAACCCUACCUGAAAUAGUUG
Molecule: long non-coding RNA, 305 nt
Filed under: Zostera marina
Lineage: Eukaryota; Viridiplantae; Streptophyta; Magnoliopsida; Alismatales; Zosteraceae
Description: long non-coding RNA (ZMAR_LNC001739)
Source: RNAcentral